UGGGGAAUUUUGGACAAUGGGGGCAACCCUGAUCCAGCCAUGCCGCGUGAGUGAAGAAGGCCUUCGGGUUGUAAAGCUCUUUCGGACGGGACGAAAUGGUUACGGUGAAUAACUGUGACUGAUGACGGUACCGUAAUAAGAAGCACCGGCUAACUCCGUGCCAGCAGCCGCGGUAAUACGGAGGGUGCAAGCGUUGCUCGGAAUUAUUGGGCGUAAAGGGUAGGUAGGUGGUCUCGUUUGUCUGAGGUGAAAGCCCUGGGCUUAACUCAGGAAGUGCCUCAGAAACGGCGAGACUGGAGUCCUGGAGAGGGUCGUGGAAUUCCCGGUGUAGCGGUGAAAUGCGUAGAGAUCGGGAGGAACACCAGAGGCGAAGGCGGCGACCUGGACAGGUACUGACACUAAACUACGAAAGCGUGGGGAGCAAACAGGAUUAGAUACCCCGGUAGUCCCUGAGCGGGCUGGCAAGGCGCAU
Molecule: ribosomal RNA, 472 nt
Filed under: uncultured bacterium
Lineage: Bacteria
Description: bacterial SSU rRNA
Rfam family: Bacterial small subunit ribosomal RNA
Source: RNAcentral